This 497-nucleotide ribosomal RNA is filed under the name uncultured bacterium. RNAcentral describes it as "partial 16S ribosomal RNA". It matches the Rfam family "Bacterial small subunit ribosomal RNA", at positions 36 to 507 of the family's 1533-position model. The record is from RNAcentral.
UCUUCCCUCUGGCGGCGUGCCUAAUACAUGCAAGUCGAGCGAACAGACGAGGAGCUUGCUCCUCUGACGUUAGCGGCGGACGGGUGAGUAACACGUGGAUAACCUACCUAUAAGACUGGGAUAACUUCGGGAAACCGGAGCUAAUACCGGAUAAUAUAUUGAACCGCAUGGUUCAAUAGUGAAAGACGGUUUUGCUGUCACUUAUAGAUGGAUCCGCGCCGCAUUAGCUAGUUGGUAAGGUAACGGCUUACCAAGGCGACGAUGCGUAGCCGACCUGAGAGGGUGAUCGGCCACACUGGAACUGAGACACGGUCCAGACUCCUACGGGAGGCAGCAGUAGGGAAUCUUCCGCAAUGGGCGAAAGCCUGACGGAGCAACGCCGCGUGAGUGAUGAAGGUCUUCGGAUCGUAAAACUCUGUUAUUAGGGAAGAACAAAUGUGUAAGUAACUAUGCACGUCUUGACGGUACCUAAUCAGAAAGCCACGGCUAACUACGUA